RNAcentral lists this ribosomal RNA (484 nucleotides) under Pseudomonas sp. 'ARUP UnID 540'. RNAcentral describes it as "bacterial SSU rRNA". It matches the Rfam family "Bacterial small subunit ribosomal RNA", at positions 27 to 506 of the family's 1533-position model. The record is from RNAcentral. Lineage: Bacteria; Pseudomonadati; Pseudomonadota; Gammaproteobacteria; Pseudomonadales; Pseudomonadaceae.
GAUUGAACGCUGGCGGCAGGCCUAACACAUGCAAGUCGAGCGGUAGAGAGGAGCUUGCUUCUCUUGAGAGCGGCGGACGGGUGAGUAAUGCCUAGGAAUCUGCCUGGUAGUGGGGGAUAACGUUCGGAAACGGACGCUAAUACCGCAUACGUCCUACGGGAGAAAGUGGGGGAUCUUCGGACCUCACGCUAUCAGAUGAGCCUAGGUCGGAUUAGCUAGUUGGUGGGGUAAAGGCUCACCAAGGCGACGAUCCGUAACUGGUCUGAGAGGAUGAUCAGUCACACUGGAACUGAGACACGGUCCAGACUCCUACGGGAGGCAGCAGUGGGGAAUAUUGGACAAUGGGCGAAAGCCUGAUCCAGCCAUGCCGCGUGUGUGAAGAAGGUCUUCGGAUUGUAAAGCACUUUAAGUUGGGAGGAAGGGCAGUAAGCUAAUACCUUGCUGUUUUGACGUUACCGACAGAAUAAGCACCGGCUAACUCUGU